UACGAACCGGUAGUUGUAAGUCCUAUCUUUGUGGUCUUCUACCUACUAACCGAUAGAUGUAAACUCCAUGUUCUCCCCUUUGUGGAGUCACCCUUUGUGCUCAUCCUAAUUGAUGACGGUUGCUUUUUCCGUGGUUUUCUACCUACGAACCGGUAGAUGUAAUCCCCUCUUUGUGGUUAUCAUUAUCCAGUUCGGUAUUGAUAUGCCUUUCACCUUUCAGAUAUUUGCUCCG
RNAcentral lists this long non-coding RNA (232 nucleotides) under Lathyrus oleraceus (garden pea). RNAcentral's name for it is "Pisum sativum (pea) long non-coding RNA (PSAT_LNC030956)". The record is from RNAcentral. Lineage: Eukaryota; Viridiplantae; Streptophyta; Magnoliopsida; Fabales; Fabaceae.